GUGCACGCUGGCGGUAGGCCUAACACAUGCAAGUCGAGCGGCAGCACAGUAAGAGCUUGCUCUUACGGGUGGCGAGUGGCGGACGGGUGAGGAAUACAUCGGAAUCUACUUUUUCGUGGGGGAUAACGUAGGGAAACUUACGCUAAUACCGCAUACGACCUACGGGUGAAAGCAGGGGAUCUUCGGACCUUGCGCGAUUGAAUGAGCCGAUGUCGGAUUAGCUAGUUGGCGGGGUAAAGGCCCACCAAGGCGACGAUCCGUAGCUGGUCUGAGAGGAUGAUCAGCCACACUGGAACUGAGACACGGUCCAGACUCCUACGGGAGGCAGCAGUGGGGAAUAUUGGACAAUGGGCGCAAGCCUGAUCCAGCCAUACCGCGUGGGUGAAGAAGGCCUUCGGGUUGUAAAGCCCUUUUGUUGGGAAAGAAAAGCAGCAGGUUAAUACCCCGCUGUUCUGACGGUACCCAAAGAAUAAGCACCGGCUAACUUCGUG
RNAcentral lists this ribosomal RNA (491 nucleotides) under uncultured bacterium. Its description in RNAcentral is "partial 16S ribosomal RNA". It matches the Rfam family "Bacterial small subunit ribosomal RNA", at positions 29 to 507 of the family's 1533-position model. The record is from RNAcentral.